AUUGAACGCUGGCGGCAUGCCUUACACAUGCAAGUCGAACGGCAGCAUGAUCUAGCUUGCUAGAUUGAUGGCGAGUGGCGAACGGGUGAGUAAUACAUCGGAACGUGCCCUGUAGUGGGGGAUAACUAGUCGAAAGAUUAGCUAAUACCGCAUACGACCUGAGGGUGAAAGUGGGGGACCGCAAGGCCUCAUGCUAUAGGAGCGGCCGAUGUCUGAUUAGCUAGUUGGGGAGGUAAAGGCUCACCAAGGAGACGAUCAGUAGCUGGUCUGAGAGGACGAUCAGCCACACUGGGACUGAGACACGGCCCAGACUCCUACGGGAGGCAGCAGUGGGGAAUUUUGGACAAUGGGCGAAAGCCUGAUCCAGCAAUGCCGCGUGUGUGAAGAAGGCCUUCGGGUUGUAAAGCACUUUUGUCCGGAAAGAAAUGGCUCUGGUUAAUACCUGGGGUCGAUGACGGUACCGGAAGAAUAAGGACCGGCUAACUACGUG
This 490-nucleotide ribosomal RNA is filed under the name uncultured bacterium. RNAcentral describes it as "partial 16S ribosomal RNA". It matches the Rfam family "Bacterial small subunit ribosomal RNA", at positions 30 to 507 of the family's 1533-position model. The record is from RNAcentral.